Molecule: ribosomal RNA, 492 nt
Filed under: uncultured bacterium
Lineage: Bacteria
Description: partial 16S ribosomal RNA
Rfam family: Bacterial small subunit ribosomal RNA
Source: RNAcentral
AGCGAACGCUGGCGGUAGGCCUAACACAUGCAAGUCGAACGGCAGCACAGUAAGAGCUUGCUCUUACGGGUGGCGAGUGGCGGACGGGUGAGGAAUACAUCGGAAUCUACUUUUUCGUGGGGGAUAACGUAGGGAAACUUACGCUAAUACCGCAUACGACCUACGGGUGAAAGCAGGGGAUCUUCGGACCUUGCGCGAUUGAAUGAGCCGAUGUCGGAUUAGCUAGUUGGCGGGGUAAAGGCCCACCAAGGCGACGAUCCGUAGCUGGUCUGAGAGGAUGAUCAGCCACACUGGAACUGAGACACGGUCCAGACUCCUACGGGAGGCAGCAGUGGGGAAUAUUGGACAAUGGGCGCAAGCCUGAUCCAGCCAUACCGCGUGGGUGAAGAAGGCCUUCGGGUUGUAAAGCCCUUUUGUUGGGAAAGAAAAGCAGCAGGUUAAUACCCCGCUGUUCUGACGGUACCCAAAGAAUAAGUACCGGCUAACUUCGUG